UAAGGUGAUUAUAACGAUAGGGCUCACCUCUUCCCAUCCCGAACAGAGAAGUUAAGCCUAUCAGUGCAGAUGGUACUGCCAUAUGGUGGGAGAGUAUGUCAUCGCCUUUC
This 110-nucleotide ribosomal RNA is filed under the name Bacteroidota bacterium. RNAcentral also lists the same sequence under 1 other name. The record is from RNAcentral. Lineage: Bacteria; Pseudomonadati; Bacteroidota.